RNAcentral lists this non-coding RNA (954 nucleotides) under Parachiloglanis hodgarti. RNAcentral's name for it is "12S ribosomal RNA". It matches the Rfam family "Bacterial small subunit ribosomal RNA". The record is from RNAcentral. Lineage: Eukaryota; Metazoa; Chordata; Actinopteri; Siluriformes; Sisoridae.
CAAAGGUUUGGUCCUAGCUUUACUAUCAACUUUAAUUUAACUUAUACAUGCAAGUAUCCGCAUCCCUGUGAGAAUGCCCUCAAUCCCCUACCCGAGGACGAGGAGCAGGUAUCAGGCACAGACCAAUCUAGCCCAAGACGCCUUGCUAUGCCACACCCCCAAGGGACUUCAGCAGUAAUAAAUAUUAAGCCAUAAGUGUAAACUUGACUUAGUUAAAAUUUUAAUAGGGCCGGUAAAAUUCGUGCCAGCCACCGCGGUUAUACGAAAGACCCUAGUUGAUAGACAUCGGCGUAAAGGGUGGUUAAGAAAUUAUAAAAUAAAGUCAAAGACCCUCUAAGCCGUCAUACGCACCCCGAGGAUACGAAAUCCAAACACGAAAGUAACUUUAAACACAAUUAACCUGACCCCACGAAAGCUAAGAAACAAACUGGGAUUAGAUACCCCACUAUGCUUAGCCAUAAACCCAGAUGAUUUUCUACAAAUUCAUCCGCCAGGGGACUACGAGCACAGCUUAAAACCCAAAGGACUUGGCGGUGUUUCAGACCCACCUAGAGGAGCCUGUUCUAGAACCGAUAAUCCCCGUUAAACCCCACCACUUCUUGUUUUCCCCGCCUAUAUACCGCCGUCACCAGCUUACCCUGUGAAGGAGUAAUAGUAAGCAAAAUAGGUUCACCCAAAAACGUCAGGUCGAGGUGUAGCGUACGAAGUGGAUAGAAAUGGGCUACAUUUUCUAAUAAUAGAAUACACGAAUAGUGCCAUGAAAUGGGCACUUAAAGGUGGAUUUAGUAGUAAAAAGCAAAUAGAGCGUACUUUUGAAUUAGGCUCUGAAACGCGCACACACCGCCCGUCACUCUCCCCUAAAUAUUCAAAAACCAUUUAUAAUAACAUAUCAUUAAAACACGGGGAGGCAAGUCGUAACAUGGUAAGUGUACCGGAAGGUGUACUUGGAAUAAU